GUCCAUGACCGUGCCAUCCCGAAUGUGCCCGACCCCAUCUGAUCUGGGAAGCUAAGCAGAGUCGGGCCUGGUUAAUACUUGGAUGGGAGACCACCUACAAAUACCAGGUGCUGUAGGCA
Molecule: ribosomal RNA, 119 nt
Filed under: Pteropus alecto (black flying fox)
Lineage: Eukaryota; Metazoa; Chordata; Mammalia; Chiroptera; Pteropodidae
Source: RNAcentral